AGAGUUUGAUCCUGGCUCAGGAUGAACGCUAGCGGCAGGCUUAAUACAUGCAAGUUGAGGGGCAGCAUGAUAUACGCGAGUAUAUUGAUGGCGACCGGCGGACGGGUGAGUAAUAGGUAGGAGACCCACCUCAUACAGGGGGAUAGCAUAGAGAAAUCUGUGGUAAUACCCCAUGAGGUUAUAUGAAUAGAGGCAUAUAAUCAAAGCAUAAGUGAUUAUGCGGUAUGAGAGGGGCCUACUGAUCAUUAGCUAGUUGGUGAGGUAAGGGCUCACCAAGGCGAAGAUGGUUAGGGGUUUUGAGAGAGAGACCCCCCACAUUGGAACUGAGAGACGGUCCAGACUCCUACGGGAGGCAGCAGUAGGGAAUAUUGGGCAAUGGGCGAAAGCCUGACCCAGCCAUGCCGCGUGAAGGAAGACGGCCUUAUGGGUUGUAAACUUCUUUACUACGCGAAUAGAGGUUAGUACGAGAUACUAAUAGGAAGGUAGUGUAGUAAAAAGCACCGGCUAACUCCGUGCCAGCAGCCGCGGUAAUACGGAGGGUGCAAGCGUUAUUCGGAAUUACUGGGUUUAAAGGGUGCGUAGGCGGUUAAAUAAGUUGUCAGUGAAAGGCUACGGCUCAACUGUAGUAGUGCUGGCGAUACUGUAUAACUAAGGACAUGGGAGGGGUACCUGGAAUGUGUGGUGUAGCGGUGAAAUGCGUAGAUAUCACACAGAA
Molecule: ribosomal RNA, 715 nt
Filed under: uncultured bacterium
Lineage: Bacteria
Description: bacterial SSU rRNA
Rfam family: Bacterial small subunit ribosomal RNA
Source: RNAcentral